Long non-coding RNA from Moschus moschiferus (Siberian musk deer), 512 nucleotides. Lineage: Eukaryota; Metazoa; Chordata; Mammalia; Artiodactyla; Moschidae. The record is from Ensembl.
CUGGUGGGAGGGGAAAUUGGGGACCCGAGUUGGUGGAUGACGUAGGUCUCACGUGACCAAGAGCUGACGUGUGCAGAAGUCCUUCUUGUUCUGGUCGUUGUUCCCGUCUGAGUAUCAGCUCCCCAUUGCCCCGAGGGCCAGUGGGCCUGCAGCAGAGGAAAGAAGGAGGAGGAGAAGGAGAUUGUCCCGGAUCCGUGCAGUCUUUCCGUAGGUUGCGGCACCACGCCAGACUAGAGAAGAGGAAGGAAAUUAACCCCAAUCCGUGAAGGUCGAUUUGAGGGUCUGCUGUAGCAGGUGGCACCAGUAUAAACGAGGGAGGAAGUUUCCUUGGAUCAGUAGAGAUUGCAAGGGUUGUUGGGCGUGGCUCAUCUCCAGGGGAGGGAAGAAGGGGCAAACUGCCUGUCUGGAGGAGGUUAGUGCAAUGGUGCUGCUCCCUGGGAACAUCCAAGUUUGGGGUAGCUGAGGCCCCAGCAGAGAGGAUGGGCUCCACUGCCUUUAUCUAGGCUUGGGGA